Molecule: ribosomal RNA, 253 nt
Filed under: uncultured bacterium
Lineage: Bacteria
Description: partial 16S ribosomal RNA
Rfam family: Bacterial small subunit ribosomal RNA
Source: RNAcentral
UACAGAGGUCUCAAGCGUUGUUCGGAUUCAUUGGGCGUAAAGGGUGCGUAGGUGGCGUCGUAAGUGGGGUGUGAAAUCCCGGGGCUUAACCCCGGGACUGCAUUCCAUACUGCGGUGCUUGAGGACUGGAGAGGAGACUGGAAUUUACGGUGUAGCGGUGAAAUGCGUAGAUAUCGUAAGGAAGACCAGUGGCGAAGGCGGGUCUCUGGACAGUUCCUGACGCUGAGGCACGAAGGUCAGGGGAGCAAACGGG